UGGAACCGAUUGAUGCUAUUUUGAUUUGGUUUCGUAUUUCGGUUUUGAUUUUCGGUUUCAAAUACAGUCCCCUGUAUGCUGGUCUUCAUCAACACGCUAAAUUUGAAGCUCGUUUCGUUUCACCUAAACGCACUGCAAAACCCUACUCUCACUCAGACUCCAAUGCACCGGUGAACCCUACUAACAAUUUCAAUAAACCCUACCAAGCCUCCGAGUUAGCACGAGUCGACUCAGUCCGCUAUCGACGAGUCUACCACCGAAACCGCCCCGGUUCCCGAUGCCAGGAACGGGGUCGCUGAGCGAACGCCGGAGGAGAUGGUAGCCAAGGGCAUCGCUCGCGUGAAGAAACAGUUCCUUCGCCCUCCACCCAUAAAAGCUCUCUCUAACGACCAGAACGACGCCGUCCCGGAGGGGAAACCAAAGGCUCCCCAGCUGUUUGCUUAAGACAAUAAUUUUGAUAAUUUUGUUUUUCUUCAACAUUGCAGGCAGCGAAAUCGGCAGCAGGCAUCUGCCCGGAGGUGGCGAAAAGAGGAGAUGUUAGCCGGUGCCCGUACAACGAUAAAUGCCGGUUCAGCCACGACAUAGAGGCUUAUAAAGCUCAGAAACCUGAGGAUAUAGAGGGAGAGUGUCCUUUCAUGACUGCCCAGGAGACAUGCCCAUAUGGGUUGGCAUGUAGGUUCUUGGGUUCGGAUAAAGACGGUGUUGAAGGUGGGGAUUUGAGUGCUCGCAGAAGAAGCUCUGAGGUGAAUGGAUUGACCAAAGAUGUUCAAAAGCUUUUGUGGAAGAAUAAAAUGAAGUUCCCCAAAGCAGACGCCAAACUCAAGGCUCUUGGGCUCGAGGGUCAAGCAUCAGAAUGGGCACUGCUGAGGUGACAUUCAUCCGAGGAUUUGUUUGUGUUCAGAUAUGUGGAUCACAUCCAGACACUGUGGCACACACUGUUGACCUAAUAGAUCAGGAAUGUCAAGUGGACUUUAUUGAUAUAAAUAUGGGGUGCCCAAUUGAUAUUGUUGUGAACAAGGGUGCUGGGUCAGCUCUUCUUACAAAACCCAUGCUGAUGAAAGGCAUUGUACAAGCAGCUUCUGGUACCGUCGACAGUCCUAUAACUAUUAAGGUACUGAAUUCUAUUCAUGUUCUACACAACUCUGAACAAAACAGUCUACAUCAAUCUGCAAGAUAGCAGGUUUGGCUGAAUAAUGUGUUUCAUUUUUUUAAAUUGUUUUGUUCCAAAAUGAUGACAUGUUUUCUCUGCCGUCAUGGCCUCUUUGAUAUCUUUUCUGUUUGAUUGCUUCUUAAGUGAACUUCUUCUUAAGUGAACUUCUAGGUUUUAAGGUUGUCCGCGAAAUGUUAUACUGCUGCUUUACUGUUUCUAAACCAGGACAGCCUAUUUUGAGGGGAAAAAUCGCAUUGAUUCCACUUAUUGCGGACAUGGGAAACUGGGGAGCUAGUGCAGAGUUGAAUAUCAGAGUGCGCAACGAACAAGACUAACAAAAUAAGAAUAUUAUUAAAUAAACAAGAAUGCCGAAAUGGCUACAAAACCCUAAGAGACUACAUUGUGAAUGACUUCUCUAAACUGAAUAACAAGCAUGCUAUUUAUAAUAAACUAACCCUAACCUAAAAAGGUAAGAAACCGAAACCCUAAUGUUAACGGGCUAAGCCCAGAAAACCAAAUAUUCAAAUAAACUAAAAUCCUAAUAUUUUCCAACA
This is a long non-coding RNA of Malus domestica (apple), 1704 nucleotides long. RefSeq lists it as uncharacterized. Lineage: Eukaryota; Viridiplantae; Streptophyta; Magnoliopsida; Rosales; Rosaceae. The record is from RefSeq and is a predicted model, not a curated record.